AUUGAACGCUGGCGGCAGGCUUAACACAUGCAAGUCGAGCGGGGUGAUGGUGCUUGCACUAUCACUUAGCGGCGGACGGGUGAGUAAUGCUUAGGAAUCUGCCUAUUAGUGGGGGACAACAUCUCGAAAGGGAUGCUAAUACCGCAUACGUCCUACGGGAGAAAGCAGGGGAUCACUUGUGACCUUGCGCUAAUAGAUGAGCCUAAGUCGGAUUAGCUAGGUGGUGGGGUAAAGGCCUACCAAGGCGACGAUCUGUAGCGGGUCUGAGAGGAUGAUCCGCCACACUGGGACUGAGACACGGCCCAGACUCCUACGGGAGGCAGCAGUGGGGAAUAUUGGACAAUGGGGGGAACCCUGAUCCAGCCAUGCCGCGUGUGUGAAGAAGGCCUUAUGGUUGUAAAGCACUUUAAGCGAGGAGGAGGCUCUUUUGGUUAAUACCCAAGAUGAGUGGACGUUACUCGCAGAAUAAGUACCGGCUAACUCUGUGCCAGCCGCCGCGGUAA
This 503-nucleotide ribosomal RNA is filed under the name uncultured bacterium. RNAcentral's name for it is "partial 16S ribosomal RNA". It matches the Rfam family "Bacterial small subunit ribosomal RNA", at positions 30 to 523 of the family's 1533-position model. The record is from RNAcentral.